Molecule: ribosomal RNA, 812 nt
Filed under: uncultured bacterium
Lineage: Bacteria
Description: bacterial SSU rRNA
Rfam family: Bacterial small subunit ribosomal RNA
Source: RNAcentral
AGAGUUUGAUCAUGGCUCAGAACGAACGCCGGCGGGCGGCCUAACCCCAUGCAAGUCGAACGGAGUGAGGGGGCUUGCUCCUUCAUUCAGUGGCGCACGGGUGAGUAACGCGUGGAUAACCUGCCCUGGAAACCGGAAUAACAUUGCGAAAGCGGUGCUAAUACCGGAUAAGCCCACGACCCCAUGGGGUCGCGGGAAAAAGGCGGCCUCUGACUCAAGCUGCCGUUUCAGGAAGGGUCCGCGUCCUAUUAGCUAGUUGGCAGGGUAAAUGCCUACCAAGGCGACGAUGGGUAGCUGGUCUGAGAGGAUGGUCAGCCACACUGGAACUGAGACACGGUCCAGACUCCUACGGGAGGCAGCAGUGGGGAAUUUUGCGCAAUGGACGAAAGCCUGACGCAGCGACGCCGCGUGAGUGAUGAAGGCCUUCGGGUCGUAAAGCUCUGUCGGAGGGGAAGAAAUGCAGGGGUGCCAAUACCAUCCCCGCUUGACGGUACCCUCAAAGGAAGCACCGGCUAACUCCGUGCCAGCAGCCGCGGUAAUACGGAGGGUGCGAGCGUUGUUCGGAAUUAUUGGGCGUAAAGCGCGUGCAGGCGGUUUGUCAGGUCCGAUGUGAAAGCCCCGGGCCCAACCCGGGAAGUGCAUUGGAAACCGGCAGACUUGAAUUCGGGAGAGGAGAGCGGAAUUCCUGGUGUAGGGGUGAAAUCCGUAGAUAUCAGGAAGAACACCGGUGGCGAAGGCGGCUCUCUGGACCGACAUUGACGCUGAGACGCGAAAGCGUGGGUAGCAAACAGGAUUAGAUACCCUAGUAGUCC